AUUGAGCGCUGGCGGCAGGCCUAACACAUGCAAGUCGAACGGUAACAGGAAGAAGCUUGCUUCUUUGCUGACGAGUGGCGGACGGGUGAGUAAUGUCUGGGAAACUGCCUGAUGGAGGGGGAUAACUACUGGAAACGGUAGCUAAUACCGCAUAACGUCGCAAGACCAAAGAGGGGGACCUUCGGGCCUCUUGCCAUCAGAUGUGCCCAGAUGGGAUUAGCUAGUAGGUGGGGUAACGGCUCACCUAGGCGACGAUCCCUAGCUGGUCUGAGAGGAUGACCAGCCACACUGGAACUGAGACACGGUCCAGACUCCUACGGGAGGCAGCAGUGGGGAAUAUUGCACAAUGGGCGCAAGCCUGAUGCAGCCAUGCCGCGUGUAUGAAGAAGGCCUUCGGGUUGUAAAGUACUUUCAGCGGGGAGGAAGGGAGUAAAGUUAAUACCUUUGCUCAUUGACGUUACCCGCAGAAGAAGCACCGGCUAACUCCGUGCCAGCCGCCGCAGUAA
This 506-nucleotide ribosomal RNA is filed under the name uncultured bacterium. Its description in RNAcentral is "partial 16S ribosomal RNA". It matches the Rfam family "Bacterial small subunit ribosomal RNA", at positions 30 to 523 of the family's 1533-position model. The record is from RNAcentral.